Arachis ipaensis is the source of this 369-nucleotide non-coding RNA. Lineage: Eukaryota; Viridiplantae; Streptophyta; Magnoliopsida; Fabales; Fabaceae. The record is from RefSeq and is a predicted model, not a curated record.
CUGCCGUCGCCGGAAAAAGUGGCCAGUAAGGGUUUUAUUUGAAGUUUCUGCCUUUUUGGAUUUCGAGAAGGUUUUAAUGUUGCGCGGUUUUUAUAGUUGAUCCACCGAAGCUUCUGGCCGCCGCCAGAGCUGUUGCCGGGGCCGGUUCGGAAUCGCAGCUGCCUUAUUGUAUUAUUUCGUGUUGCUAUGGUUAUUGCAAAAGUGGCUGGGAGCUGAGGCUUUAGUUUUCGUCAGUUCGGUUUGAGACGGAAAGGACUUGAUGAGGCAUUUGGGCUAUGGUUUUGCAUUUUGAGGUACGGGCGCUUUCCAAAAACUGUGUUUUAUGUAUUGGAAUUAUUACAUAUGGGUACUGAUGUGAGAUAUUGUGUA